CGAAUGCUGACAUAAGUAACGAUAAAGCGGGUGAAAAGCCCGCUCGCCGGAAGACCAAGGGUUCCUGUCCAACGUUAAUCGGGGCAGGGUGAGUCGACCCCUAAGGCGAGGCCGAAAGGCGUAGUCGAUGGGAAACAGGUUAAUAUUCCUGUACUUGGUGUUACUGCGAAGGGGGGACGGAGAAGGCUAUGUUGGCCGGGCGACGGUUGUCCCGGUUUAAGCGUGUAGGCUGGUUUUCCAGGCAAAUCCGGAAAAUCAAGGCUGAGGCGUGAUGACGAGGCACUACGGUGCUGAAGCAACAAAUGCCCUGCUUCCAGGAAAAGCCUCUAAGCAUCAGGUAACAUCAAAUCGUACCCCAAACCGACACAGGUGGUCAGGUAGAGAAUACCAAGGCGCUUGAGAGAACUCGGGUGAAGGAACUAGGCAAAAUGGUGCCGUAACUUCGGGAGAAGGCACGCUGAUAUGUAGGUGAAGUCCCUCGCGGAUGGAGCUGAAAUCAGUCGAAGAUACCAGCUGGCUGCAACUGUUUAUUAAAAACACAGCACUGUGCAAACACGAAAGUGGACGUAUACGGUGUGACGCCUGCCCGGUGCCGGAAGGUUAAUUGAUGGGGUUAGCGCAAGCGAAGCUCUUGAUCGAAGCCCCGGUAAA
RNAcentral lists this ribosomal RNA (651 nucleotides) under Escherichia coli. Its description in RNAcentral is "partial 23S ribosomal RNA". It matches the Rfam family "Bacterial large subunit ribosomal RNA", at positions 1291 to 1927 of the family's 2925-position model. Lineage: Bacteria; Pseudomonadati; Pseudomonadota; Gammaproteobacteria; Enterobacterales; Enterobacteriaceae. The record is from RNAcentral.